CCAAUAGCGUAUAUUAAAGUUGUUGCAGUUAAAAAGCUCGUAGUUGAAUUUCGAGACCGGUUUACUGGUCGUGCUUUUGUACGUACUGGUAUUAUCGGUUUCUCCUUUCUGACGAAUCAUAAUGCCAUUAAUUUGGUGUUUUGGGGAAUCAGGACUGUUACUUUGAAAAAAUUAGAGUGUUUAAAGCAGGCUCACGCUUGAAUACAUUAGCAUGGAAUAACGGAAUAGGACGUUUGAUUCUAUUUUGUUGGUUUCUAGGAUCGACGUAAUGAUUAAUAGGGAUAGUUGGGGGCAUUAGUAUUCAAUUGUCAGAGGUGAAAUUCUUGGAUUUAUUGAAGACUAACUACUGCGAAAGCAUUUGCCAAGGAUGUUUUCAUUAAUCAAGAACGAAAGUUAGGGGAUCGAAGACGAUCAGAUACCGUCGUAGUCUUAACCAUAAACUAUGCCGACUAGGGAUCGGAUGAUGUUAAUUUUUUAAUGACUCAUUCGGCGCCUUACG
This 499-nucleotide ribosomal RNA is filed under the name uncultured Glomus. RNAcentral's name for it is "SSU rRNA". It matches the Rfam family "Eukaryotic small subunit ribosomal RNA", at positions 591 to 1092 of the family's 1831-position model. Lineage: Eukaryota; Fungi; Glomeromycota; Glomeromycetes; Glomerales; Glomeraceae. The record is from RNAcentral.